RNAcentral lists this long non-coding RNA (212 nucleotides) under Homo sapiens (human). RNAcentral describes it as "HSALNT0217333". Lineage: Eukaryota; Metazoa; Chordata; Mammalia; Primates; Hominidae. The record is from RNAcentral.
CAGACAGAUACGAAAAUACAACGAAGCGUGCAUGACCGAAACCAGAAGAGAUUAAAGUAAAACCUCAUUCUCCUGAGGAAAUCGUGUGAGAAGGGACUUAGGGACUGCCGGAACACAGCGAAGCAGAGGCAGAAGGCAGACAAAAGGGGCUGGGUUGGUCCCCGCCUGUGUGAACGAAAAAAUAUGUCAGAUUGGAAAAUUGCGGUAAAAAC